AACUUUUGACAAUGGAUCUCUUGGCUCUCGCAUCGAUGAAGAACGCAGCGAAAUGCGAUAAGUAAUGUGAAUUGCAGAUUUUCAGCGAAUCAUCGAAUCUUUGAACGCACCUUGCGCCCCUUGGUAUUCCGAGGGGCAUGCCUGUUUGAGUGUCAUUGAAAUAUCAACCUUGGGUGGAUUUGCUUCCUCUCCGAUGGUUGGACUUUGGAGAGUGCUGGCGUCAGGUCGGCUCCUCUUAAAUGCAUCAGCGGAAAACUUUGACCUCUGGACGUCAGCGUGAUAAUCACGUUGCGCUGUCGACCGAGGUGUCAUCAUAAGGACCCGCUUCUAAUGGUCUUCGGACAGGACAUCAAAUUUGACCUCAAAUCAGGUAGGACUACCCGCUGAACUUAAGCAUAUCAAUAAGCGGAGGCU
RNAcentral lists this unclassified non-coding RNA (414 nucleotides) under uncultured Atheliaceae. Its description in RNAcentral is "sequence contains ITS2". The stretch from base 1 to 155 matches the Rfam family "5.8S ribosomal RNA". Lineage: Eukaryota; Fungi; Basidiomycota; Agaricomycetes; Atheliales; Atheliaceae. The record is from RNAcentral.